GACGAACCACACGAACGUUAUUCGGAAUUACUGGGCUUAAAGGGUGCGUAGGCGGCCUGGCAAGUUGGGUGUGAAAUACCUCGGCUCAACCGAGGAAUGGCGCUCAAAACUGCCGGGCUUGAGGGAGAUAGAGGUGAGCGGAACUUAAGGUGGAGCGGUGAAAUGCGUUGAUAUCUUAAGGAACACCCGUGGCGAAAGCGGCUCACUGGAUCUCUUCUGACGCUCAGGCACGAAAGCCAGGGGAGCGAACGGG
Molecule: ribosomal RNA, 253 nt
Filed under: uncultured bacterium
Lineage: Bacteria
Description: partial 16S ribosomal RNA
Rfam family: Bacterial small subunit ribosomal RNA
Source: RNAcentral